Molecule: RNA transcript, 1721 nt
Organism: Manihot esculenta (cassava)
Lineage: Eukaryota; Viridiplantae; Streptophyta; Magnoliopsida; Malpighiales; Euphorbiaceae
Gene name: 4-hydroxybenzoate polyprenyltransferase, mitochondrial
Exons: 9
Source: RefSeq, a predicted model, not a curated record
AGUUUACAGACUACUCUGCCUUCUCCCCUCUUUCUGCUUCUGUAGUUCUUUUGCUGUUUCUACUUCCUAUUUUCCACCACAAUUCCCUGAUUAAAGGAUGCUUUUCUAGCAGAAACAGAUUCGCAGUAAGCUCAAACAUGACGUCGUUUUUGGUCUCUCGCGCUUCCGGCAACAUCGCCGCCACCAGAAGGUUGCGCAAUUCCUCUCUCUCGUCUUCACUUUCUCUCUUCAACCAUACAGGCGUCGUCUCUCCAAGUUGCCUAUCAGAACCAAACCCUAAAACCAACUAUAGCAUCCCUGCAUUUUACCCAUUUACUCAAUCUUACUACUGGAGAAAUUUUGAAUUUUCCCGCAAUGAUCAGAACUCUAAUUACUCCAAUUUGAGGUUUGUUGAAGGAAUUUCGACGCUAUCGAGCUCUAAGAAGAACGAGGAUAAUAAGGAGAAUGGAGGGUUUUCGAAAGAGAGAGAUGUGUCUUGGAUCGAUUUGUACUUGCCGAGACUGGUUCGCCCUUAUGCACGGCUUGCCCGACUUGAUAAGCCGAUAGGAACUUGGCUGCUUGCUUGGCCUUGUAUGUGGUCAAUUUCGUUGGCAGCAACCCCGGGGCACGUUCCUGAUUUUAAGAUGAUGACUUUAUUUGGUUGUGGGGCUUUGCUUUUAAGGGGUGCUGGAUGUACCAUAAAUGAUCUCCUUGAUAGAGACAUUGAUACCAAGGUGGAACGUACAAAGUUGAGACCAGUUGCAAGUGGUCUUUUGUCACCAUUUCAAGGGCUUUGUUUUCUUGGUUUUCAGUUGAUGUUGGGUCUUGGAAUUCUCCUUCAACUAAAUAAUUAUAGCCAAAUUUUGGGAGCAUCAUCCUUGUUGCUAGUCUUCUCCUAUCCCCUCAUGAAGAGAUUGACAUUUUGGCCUCAAGCCUAUCUAGGUUUGACAUUUAACUGGGGAGCUUUAUUAGGGUGGUCUGCUAUUAAGGGAAGUUUAGAUCCAGCCGUUGUUUUGCCACUGUACGUGGGUGGAGUAUUUUGGACCCUUGUGUAUGAUACCAUAUAUGCCCAUCAGGAUAAGGAGGAUGAUCUCAAAGUGGGCAUUAAAUCAACUGCUCUGAGAUUUGGGGAUUCAACAAAGGAAUGGAUCACUGGGUUUGGAAUUGCAUGCAUUAGCAGUCUCGCUCUCAGUGGAGUCAGUGCUGAUAUUGGAUGGCCAUUUUAUGCAUUUCUGGCAGCUGCUUCUGGACAUUUAGCUUGGCAAAUAUGGACAGUUGACCUAUCUUGUCGGGCUGAUUGCAACAGAAAGAGACUUUAAUUAUGGGCCUUAUUAAGGAACAGUUGGAGUUGUAAACUUGUAAUUUUAUGGUUUGUGUCAAAUAAAUGGUUCGGUGCAUUAAUUUUCAGUGGCAUUUUGUUUGGUAGAUAUUUGUGAUGGAGGAGGUAUGGCUACCUUUCUCAAUAUAAAUUGUGUAAUCUAAGACUUGCUCCAUAUUUUCCUUGGUAAGGUUAAAACUAAAAAUUGGUUAUUCUAUUGAUUUUCUGGCUAUGGUGAAAGGAACCAAAAAUCAAUUAGUAAUAUGCAGAACUUUGCUCUCUACAUCUCUUGUAUUCUGAGACAGUUUAGGGCUUCAGACCACGUAAAAAGAAACAGCAAUACCUCUCAUCACUGUUCAGUUUUUGUUGGUACAGACAUUUUAAAUUUUUAUUUUUUAAUUUUUAAAUGGUUCACUUUUUUAAA